GUGAGACCUUCUUCUAUCAUAAUCUGAUAUCUAACAUUCUAUAUUACACAUUUUAUCCAUAGAAUAGCACUAUCACAAAGUACAAACCAUUUAACAACAAAUAUAUAUUUCACAGGUUCAUGCUGUAUCAGAUCAAACCAGUCUGAGAGCGUCAAUCAGGACUCCGAUACAAAUCAUGUGGUCAACCAGAAUGAGGCUCAAUGUGAUAUGUACUCCACUCUUCUCCAUGGUGAUACUUCUCUCUAUGAAUCAAUCACACACCCUGA
This is a long non-coding RNA of Dicentrarchus labrax (European seabass), 266 nucleotides long. RefSeq lists it as uncharacterized. The transcript has 3 exons. NCBI's taxonomy places the organism in Eukaryota, Metazoa, Chordata, Actinopteri, Moronidae. The record is from RefSeq and is a predicted model, not a curated record.